UACGUAGGGUGCAAGCGUUGUCCGGAAUUAUUGGGCGUAAAGAGCUCGUAGGCGGUUUGUCGCGUCGGGAGUGAAAUCCACUGGCUUAACUGGUGGCUUGCUUUCGAUACGGGCAGACUGGAGGUAUGCAGGGGAGAACGGAAUUCCUGGUGUAGCGGUGAAAUGCGCAGAUAUCAGGAGGAACACCGAUGGCGAAGGCCAGGUCUCUGGGCCACUAC
This 218-nucleotide ribosomal RNA is filed under the name uncultured bacterium. RNAcentral's name for it is "partial 16S ribosomal RNA". It matches the Rfam family "Bacterial small subunit ribosomal RNA", at positions 524 to 740 of the family's 1533-position model. The record is from RNAcentral.